GAUGAACGCUGGCGGCGUGCUUAACACAUGCAAGUCGAACGGUGAAGGCGGAGCUUGCUCUGCUGGAUCAGUGGCGAACGGGUGAGUAACACGUGAGCAAUCUGCCCCUGACUCUGGGAUAAGCGCUGGAAACGGCGUCUAAUACUGGAUACGAGCUGCGAAGGCAUCUUCAGCAGCUGGAAAGAAUUUCGGUCAGGGAUGAGCUCGCGGCCUAUCAGCUUGUUGGUGAGGUAAUGGCUCACCAAGGCGUCGACGGGUAGCCGGCCUGAGAGGGUGACCGGCCACACUGGGACUGAGACACGGCCCAGACUCCUACGGGAGGCAGCAGUGGGGAAUAUUGCACAAUGGGCUAAAGCCUGAUGCAGCAACGCCGCGUGAGGGACGACGGCCUUCGGGUUGUAAACCUCUUUUAGCAGGGAAGAAGCGAAAGUGACGGUACCUGCAGAAAAAGCGCCGGCUAACUACGUG
This 468-nucleotide ribosomal RNA is filed under the name uncultured bacterium. Its description in RNAcentral is "partial 16S ribosomal RNA". It matches the Rfam family "Bacterial small subunit ribosomal RNA", at positions 28 to 507 of the family's 1533-position model. The record is from RNAcentral.